CCCACAAAACGUAAUUGAGCCUUCCAUCAGCAGAAUCUCAUGCGCUUUAUAUUUCUGCCCGAGACUAUGCCAAGUCUGUUCUCCAACUAGCCCAAAAAAUCCAUCAAUAGAAAGUGUCAAAAUCUUUCAAGAUCUAACUACCCUCGUGACUUAUGGCACCUAGCCAAAAAUACCUCCAAUAACUUUGCUUUUUCUUCUUUCCCUCUUUUAUUUCUUUUCCCUCCUUUAUUUACUCAACGAGAAGUAGAGGAUUUGAAGCAGGAAGUGAAACAGCGUAAGGAAGAAAAUAGAACCUGCCGUGAAGUAAUUAACACACUAAUGGAAAAAAUAGACAAGAGUGAAAAAAAGAUGUAAGGAAUUAGAUGACAGAGCGAAUUAUCAGGAGGAUUAUAAUCGGCGAAACAACUUGCAAAUUGUUAGAGUUGAAGAACGUUCAGAGAGAGAAACUGGGGAACAGACAGCUGUUAAGGUCUCGGAACUCCUAACCAACAAGUUGGAGCUACCAAACAUCGAGGUGGAGCGUGCACACCGUGUAGGACAACGUGACGGCCAUCGGCACUGCACCAUUGUCGCUCGCUUUACAAGGUAUGGAGACCGAGAGGCUGUCAUGAGGAACGUAACAAAGCUAAAAGGAACAAGAAUUUAUAUCAACGAAGAUCUGUGUCCAGCAUCCCAGAACAUACGAAAAGCUCAAAUACCAGCUAUAAAACAAGCUAGAAGUGAGGGAAAAGUGGCGUACUUCCGCCACACUAAACUGAUUAUUAAGGAACGACCGAACAGUGGUGGUUCAUCGAGGAGGGUCGUUACUACAGGUGCCUCGACUCAUGGAUCGUCUGACCGGCCUGAUGACGUAUCGACUGGCGGCAGCGCAGUGGGCAGCGACGGCAGUGUGGUUGUUGUUACAGGCCGGGACACAAUUCCCGAUGAGGAUAGUACUGUCACCGCCGAUACGAUGGCUCCUGCUGCUGACGGCUCAUCUGCCGUGGCUGCUGGUGGUGUGACCAGCGCUGCUGACAGGAAGAAGGACGCCACGACGAUCAGGGACAACAGGACAGCUAGUAGGACAGAGGCUCUACGGACAACGAGGUCCUCUCGUGGAGGAAGAUAAGAGUAUGGCGUAAGUGAUUGCUGGUCUCCUUUAGUAAGGACAGACAGGCAGACAGAAACGAGAUGCCAGGAUUGCUAGUCACCGAGAAGGCUGUGUGUCAGCCGUGGCUGGUGAGUGUGACCUUCUGGCGUGGUGGAGUCGGCGCUGGAUAUUCAUAUAAAGUGGCGCCGGCCCUCCUGGAGACACAUUUGGUUUCCACCUGCCUGCUGCUGGCAGGUCCUUCCCCGCCACUCCUGCCGAAGAAAUGAUGGUGUUUCAACCCCGGAGGGAAACGUGUCUGUACGAGCGGCUCUCGUUCUUGUGGCUGUGGUCUGCCGGCCUUUCCCUGAGGUCAAUCGCUCGGCGGUCUGGCAGGAGCCCGCACACAGUAAGGCGCUGGUUGCGUUGGUGGGAGCGGAAUGGACGCCUCCCUAGGACGUUGGAUGGACACCAGCGCUACUUGUUCCAUACUGCAGAUAUGAAUUUCCUUUCCAGGAUGAAGCCAGCAAUUCCCUCUUACUCUCACAGCCACAUGGGCUCUAGUACGCAACAGCUGGCCGAAGAAAUCUUACGUCAAAGAGUGACACACUGUGCUUCGAAUAGUCAGUGCGUGGCUGGUUUCGUCCCUCAGUGAAUUUCAUCUGAACCGUACUGGGAAGAGAAAUGAUUCUCAAACGAAUUCUUAACAACUUCAAAAAGAAAAGCAAUAGUUAAAGCAAUAGUUAGAGGUUUUCGUUGCCAGCUUUUCUAAACUGACUUUAUACUGAUAU
Long non-coding RNA from Scylla paramamosain (green mud crab), 1857 nucleotides. RefSeq lists it as uncharacterized. The record is from RefSeq and is a predicted model, not a curated record. The transcript is spliced from 4 exons. NCBI's taxonomy places the organism in Eukaryota, Metazoa, Arthropoda, Malacostraca, Decapoda, Portunidae.